Molecule: transfer RNA, 74 nt
Filed under: Clostridium sp.
Lineage: Bacteria; Bacillati; Bacillota; Clostridia; Eubacteriales; Clostridiaceae
Also listed under: 8 other names
Description: tRNA-Gly
Rfam family: tRNA
About the family: Transfer RNA (tRNA) molecules are approximately 80 nucleotides in length. Their secondary structure includes four short double-helical elements and three loops (D, anti-codon, and T loops).
Source: RNAcentral
GCGGAUGUAGUUUAGUGGCAAAACCUCAGCUUCCCAAGCUGAAGUUGUGGGUUCGAUUCCCAUCAUCCGCUCCA